Gasterosteus aculeatus aculeatus (three-spined stickleback) is the source of this 571-nucleotide long non-coding RNA. The record is from Ensembl. Lineage: Eukaryota; Metazoa; Chordata; Actinopteri; Perciformes; Gasterosteidae.
CCGCCUGCCUGCCUGCCUGCCUGCCUCGCUCGCUUGCUCCCUGAACGAGAGACAGACAGAGAAAAUCCCUGUCUAGGCAUGGACCCCCGGCUGCAGCAGCGUGCCGCUCGCGAGGAAUGACAGCAGUUCACGUGGUCAUUAACUCCACUCGCUGAGGCUGAAGGGAAACGCUGCGGCGGGGCUCGGUGUCACUGAAGCGCCGGGCGGCUCCUGAGUUCAAGACGGCAGACAGACAGAGAGGCACGCAGCAGAGCUACGGGACCCAGCGGAACGAGGACACUGGACGGACACAGAAGGCCGUCAACAGGACGAGGCCGGGAGCACAUGCACAACCCCCCUCCACCUCCUCCCCCACCCCUCGAAUGUAAAGGGACAGGCCGAUGCCAAUAAGCUGGCGUCUAAUUUGGACGGUGUGAGACCCAUCACUGACUGAAAAGUGCCUUGUGAGACAACGUCAUACUGAAGGGUUCCGGGGGACGUUUCUUUUGUCCCGUGACAACCCCCGACCUGUUUUUUUUUUUUUUGUCCUCACCUGAGUUCAGUGUGAAGAAAGCGAAGCGGUGGAGCUGCC